AGAACUUAACUUUGGCUUUUAUCGUCUGCAGAUAAUUGUCACAGACAAACUAGCAGAAAUGAAAGAACUGGAAACAACAUCUGCAGCCAGGAGCACCAACAAACGAAAGCUCUGAGUGAACCUUGCUCAAGGAUGACUUGAGGGAUUGAUAAUGGGACACAGACAUUCCACUCUAGGUUACCUGUCCCAAUAUAGCUCGUCUGGUCCGCCAGGCCACCUGUCUUGCUUGCGGAAGCCCGUGAUACUCACCAGCUCUCAAUCAUCUGCUCAAUUUCAAUAGUGGAGAAGAGGGAAGAGACUUGGAGCUGUGU
Gopherus evgoodei (Goodes thornscrub tortoise) is the source of this 311-nucleotide long non-coding RNA. RefSeq lists it as uncharacterized. The transcript is spliced from 3 exons. Lineage: Eukaryota; Metazoa; Chordata; Testudines; Testudinidae. The record is from RefSeq and is a predicted model, not a curated record.